CACAGAAAUUUUGGAUUAUCAGUUUUCAUACUUUAUUAUUUAAUUUCCAUUAUUUCAGGAGAAAAAGCCAAAAUGAAGCAAACCUAUUCUUUGGUUUGCAAUAUUGCAGAAAUUUGAAGAUCUGUCAUCACUACCACAGUAACUAAGAAACAAAUAUGACAAGUUCUCCUAAAUUAAGUCAAGAAAGUAAAGCAAAUUUAUGAAAUUUUCAACUGUGAAUAAAACCACAAGAUAAUUCCAUAAGCAGUAUUGCUGCUUCUUCCACAUCCUGUGGAAACACUCGUUGAAGAGCCGAAUUCUUGCUCAAACUUAAUGCAAGAUUCUUGAAGCCGCAAAGCUUUUUUUGGCCCUGAGGUAAAUCAGGAGACUUGCGCAACUUCUUGCCUUGUGCAAUAUGGCCUGUGCGCAACUUCUUUUCCUUGUUGUGCACCUUGGUCUUUGUAGAUAACGUCUCCAUGGCAAUAUCCGUGCUAUUUGCCAUGGCAGCCGCCGCUGCCAUUGCUCGUCUGGCCUUCCUCUGUCGAAUCCCACAGGCAUUGCAAAGAGACUGCAUAAACAUAUUUUUGCCUAGCCUGUUAGUGAUUUAUAUAGAAUAGCUUCCUACACUAUAUAUAAGACAGACAAUCGAUCACUUGACCAUUAUUUUCUAGUAGUGCAUAAUAGAUGUAUCUAUAGAAUUUUAAUGUAAAAGAGAAUCACCUUAGGGCCACGAGGGCCACUUCUCCAAAGAGGGGUACUGGUAGUGUUGCAAUCUGCGCAGACUCUGAUACUGUUGUUAUUGUUAUUGUGACACUGCUGAUCUUGAAACUUUAGUGUAAAUUUCACUGGUUGAUCUGUCCCUGAGAAAUUGGAGUUGGAGUUGAUCAUUUUCUGCAUCAACCUCAUCUUCGAGGGCAUCCGUUUGGCUGCAGAUCCCUCGCCAACACUUCCUUCGUAAUCUCCAUCCUCUCUUUUACUUGAGUACAAUUUGUGGGCCUCGUUACUGCUACUCUCACUUAUCGCCGCAGCUUGAAAUAAUGAAGAUGAAGAAAGGUUUUUGUGAUGAUGAUGAUCACUCCAUCUGCUGUGUGA
This 1071-nucleotide unclassified non-coding RNA is filed under the name Hevea brasiliensis (rubber tree). Lineage: Eukaryota; Viridiplantae; Streptophyta; Magnoliopsida; Malpighiales; Euphorbiaceae. The record is from RNAcentral.